ACAUGCAAGUCGAGCGCCCCGCAAGGGGAGCGGCAGACGGGUGAGUAACGCGUGGGAAUCUACCCUUUUCUACGGAAUAACGCAGGGAAACUUGUGCUAAUACCGUAUGAGCCCUUCGGGGGAAAGAUUUAUCGGGAAAGGAUGAGCCCGCGUUGGAUUACCUAGUUGGUGGGGUAAAGGCCUACCAAGGCGACGAUCCAUAGCUGGUCUGAGAGGAUGAUCAGCCACAUUGGGACUGAGACACGGCCCAAACUCCUACGG
This 261-nucleotide ribosomal RNA is filed under the name Rhizobium sp. USDA 1177. RNAcentral describes it as "partial 16S ribosomal RNA". It matches the Rfam family "Bacterial small subunit ribosomal RNA", at positions 53 to 344 of the family's 1533-position model. Lineage: Bacteria; Pseudomonadati; Pseudomonadota; Alphaproteobacteria; Hyphomicrobiales; Rhizobiaceae. The record is from RNAcentral.